RNAcentral lists this ribosomal RNA (115 nucleotides) under Sinocyclocheilus grahami. Lineage: Eukaryota; Metazoa; Chordata; Actinopteri; Cypriniformes; Cyprinidae. The record is from RNAcentral.
AGCAGCCAUAGAUAGCACCCUGCAGCCCAAGACUGGUUGCCUACUGAAGCUAAGCAGGGUUGAGCCUGGUCAGUACCUGGAUGGGAGACCUCCUGGGAAAACUAGGUUGCUGCUA